AUGGUGCCCUCCUCACUCAGUGUAUACAUAUGUGUCCCCGCAACAACACCUUCGAAGGCGGCUGUCUAUGUGUCUUUUCCCCCUCACGCCUCGCUCCCUUGUUCCCACCGCAGCCUCCAUUUUCUUUUCUUGCUCUUCCUCAGCUAGCCGCCUCCUUGAUGCCCGACAUCCUCAGCACCGCAAAGGAGGACGAGGCGCCUCAAAAGGACCUCACCCUACCUUCGAUUAAAAAAACAACAACGGAGAAUAUUUGCAGGAUGUGUCUUCAACCUUUGGCUGAUGUCUGCAUUAAACAUCAGAACAGUGAUAUGAAUGCCAGAAUUCCUGAACCUUGAACACAACACGAGAAAGAGAAAUGUCAGACUCAGCAGGCAUUUUAUUCCUUGGCAAUUGCAAGUGGACAACUCUUAGUUUGCUUCAUCUUCUCAAUAGGUUAAUGUCAACCUCCCAUAGGGCAUUCACUGCUGCGGUACCAAAAUUAUGGAAUGGCCUGUUGUAAGAGAUCCAUCUUAUCACUACCUUAGAGGCAUUUAAGAAGACACUCAAGACGGCUGUCUUCCAGCGGGCUUAUCCACCGGACUCCAGGUUAUGACAAUCGCCCCACUCUUGACUAUGAUUAUUGGCUAAUUGUUGAAUUGCUAUUUUAGAGAACUAAUAGGAAUGUUGGUGAAUUCAG
Molecule: long non-coding RNA, 676 nt
Organism: Sceloporus undulatus (fence lizard)
Lineage: Eukaryota; Metazoa; Chordata; Lepidosauria; Squamata; Phrynosomatidae
Exons: 4
Source: RefSeq, a predicted model, not a curated record